CCCUGCAGCUUCAACCUGAAACCUUAGCAGGUGUGAACCUGGCCAGUACCUGGAUGGGAGACCUCCUGGGAAAGCUGAGGUUGCUGCUGGAA
Molecule: ribosomal RNA, 92 nt
Filed under: Lepisosteus oculatus (spotted gar)
Lineage: Eukaryota; Metazoa; Chordata; Actinopteri; Semionotiformes; Lepisosteidae
Source: RNAcentral